This 3897-nucleotide long non-coding RNA is filed under the name Equus asinus (donkey). RNAcentral's name for it is "lncRNA (ENSEASG00005031073.1)". The record is from RNAcentral. Lineage: Eukaryota; Metazoa; Chordata; Mammalia; Perissodactyla; Equidae.
CGAGAUUGGCCAGAGGCGAAGACGGGGGCGGAGCUCGGCGGGGAGGGAAAGGCCGAGGGCGACGUCGAUUAGGAAGUCGGCACGGCGGCGCGGGGGAACGCGGGGUGUCUCCCCUGGUUUUUUCGGUCCCUAAACAAGUAUAGAAACUGGUUAUAUCUCCUCGUUUAAGUCACCAAAGUUCGAGGAUGAUUCACUUUUUCCUAACUUUUAAUUGGGAGGGAUUCCCAGCCCUCCCGGAAGUGGAGGGUGACGUAUGAGCGCUGCCUCGGUGGCCCGGAAGUGCUCUUUACAGCCGGUUCCUGCGGUCCGGCCGCCGUCCCGCGUCCCACCCCGGGCUCCCGCCGACCAGGCGGACGCGGCCCCAGCCCGCCGCUGCCGUUCAGCCUGCUCCUCUGUCCCCUGCGCUUCCCGAGACGAAGGCUGGAUGCCUCGUUCUUACACACCACGUCACACGUGACGUCCACGUCACGACACCGCGUCGCACACGGAGUCCACGUCACACAUGACGCCUCGUCCCGGCCGGGGACGUGCUCGGUGGCCCCGCGCGCGGGCAGCGCCGCCCUUUGCCCCGCGCGCCCCGCCCUCCUCCCGGGGGCCAGGCCGCCAGGGGCUCCGCAGGGUCUCGUUGCCGCGUCGCCCGCACGAUCGUGCUUGUUCUGUUCUAGGCGAACUGUAACGGAGCAAAUAGGGGCUGGUUGUGCUCGCUGCAAUCAGGUGCCAAUCAAUUGCAAACAAGCCAGUGGUUCAGAAAGGAAAGUUUAUAGGAUUAGCUAGCAUAAUCGCAAGAUGCUGGACUAGUGUCCUAAACAACCAUCUUAAAAGCGUACAGCAUCUUGAGGCGGUUACACAGGGGAGAGGGGCGGGGAAGGAGGGGUUUAGGGAUCUCUUCCUUCUGUCAUUCGUGACGGGUACCAACGCAGAAUUUUAUUUCUGGAGGGCGUCACGUUCCUGGGGAACUCAGGGGACAAAGUUGUCGUCUUAUCACAGCUGGGAGAUAUAGGUAAGCAAGAGUCGUAGAACUAGAGAUCACCUAUUUUGUAAAAGUGAGAGGUGCUUGAUCAUCUAGGCUCCGCGCAGGCUAGAAUGUAUCCACAGAGACAAGUGAGUCAGGGUCUUGUACAGUUACAAUGUUGCUUCCUUUCCCUAAAAUGGCCUCCCUCGUGUUAACUUAAGAUCUAGCUGUUAGAAAACGACUGGAAGGGUGUGCGGUUCUAGAGUCAGUUGUGCCGAAACACACACUUGGUUGGUUUUGUCCCAGAAAUCGAUGAAUGCCUGGGAGUCUUUUAGUCUUACAGGUCUGGGAAUUAUUUAAGAUUUGUGUUCAGAUUUGAGAAUGCCUUAGGAUCUUUUAAGACACAGCAAAUAGAUGCAAAACAUUAAAAGAGAAUCUUGUCAGCUCUCUCAUUCCGAUCUAAUUUCAGUUUAAGAAAUAGGUGUGGAGGGUCCACUGUGUUGUAGGAGUUUUCGAGGGCCGCCAUAACAAAGCGCCCGGACGGGACGGCUUACAUCCACCUUCUCUCCUUGUCCUGGAGGCUGGAGGUCCGAGGUCAGGGUGUUGGCAGGGCUGAUUCCUCCCGAGGCCUUUCUCCUGGGCGUGCAGACACCGUCUUCUCCCUGUGUCCUCACAUGGUCGUACCUCUGUGCGUGUCUGUGUCCUCAUAUCCUCUUCUUAUAAGGACACCAUCAGAUUGGAUUAAAGCCCACCCAUACGACCUCUUUAAAACUUAUCUCCUGGUUACUCAAAAAAUUGAAAAGAGAACUACCAUGUGAUCCAGCACUCCCACCUCUGAGUUUAUGAAGGGAGUGAAAUAAGGGUCUAGAAGCAAUAUCUGCACCCCUUCUUCAGUGCAGCACUAUUCACAAUAGCCAAGACAUGGGAACAACCUAAGUGUCCAUUGACAGAUGAAUGGCUAAGAAGAUGUGGUGUAUAUGAAGCUGGGUACCUGAGGGUUACUGUAAAUAUUCCAUAAGAACAUGGUUACCCUUUGACCUUGUUCCCAACACAGCCACAGAUGAAAAGAAGUUAGUUCUCAUGAAAAUCCUAGAUAAAUAACCUCAAUCCCUGUUAGAUGUAUUUGUUGAGCCCAAAUGCUUUCUUCGCAGCCCACACAUUGUUACAGCUUGUUAAUUUGCUGUUUUCUUGUUUAACCUGAGGGGUGACUCAGUGGGCACAAAGAUUUAUCAGCUCGUUUUGAAGAAGAAAAGGAAUGCCUUUAAGGAAGUUAUGAGCACCAGAUGACCUGACCCCAGCUGCCACUGGUGCCAAGAAGUUUAGUAGCUUAAGGUCUUAUGUGAAGUGAAAGAAACAAGGACUUCCCCUUUGUUUCCCAAAAACUCCACCUCCCAAGCUCCUCAGCCCUAAAAGGAGCCCUGCUUCCUUCUUUUGUUAAACUGAAUCUGAGAGAACCUGUUCUCCUGCUUUCUCGUUUUGGCCAAUUCUAAUAAACCUUUCUCCAUCUCCAAGCACUGGUGUCUCACUGAUUGGCUUACUGGGCAUCCAGCACACAGACCUGAGAUUAAGAAUUCAUUAUCAUAUAUAUAUUGUGAAAAGGUAAACCUCAUUUAAAAUGGAGUCAGGAAGCCAGAAGAGUGAUCUCCUAUGCAGUACCACUCUUGGUCAAUUAUAGGAAAGGAAAAUGAUCAAUUACAGGCCCCAACAGAAGUCCUCUAGAGGAAAGAAUCAUCAAUUACUGGAAGAAAUGUACAUUGCGUCACAAGCAGAAAUCAGUGACCCCAGCAACUCAGCCAACGAGUAACCAUCACCAUCCUGAACUCUUGCUUUUCUCCAAUGGACUUCCCUUCAAAACAACCCCUCCCAAUUUCCUCCUUUUUCCCUAUAAGAUAAUGUUCCUCUCCUUUGAUUGUUGGAUUUGCCCAUGGUCUGCCAUAGCAUGCAUAUCCCAAAUUGCAAUUCUUUGGCUAUUCCUGAAUAAACUCAUUUUAUUGAUAAAAUAACUGGCUGCUUUGUUUUUCAGGUUGACAAUAUGUAUACAAUGGAAUAUUAUUCAGCCAUAAAAAAAGACAUCCUGCCAUUUGCAAAUGAGCCUGGAGGACACUAUACUAAGUGAUGAAGAUUAGCCCUGAGCUAACAUCUGCUGCCAAUCCUCCUCUUUUUGCUGAGGAAGACUGGCCCUGAGCUGACAUCUGUGCCCAUCUUCCUCUACUUUAUAUGUGGGACGCCUACCACAGCAUGGCAUGCCAAGUGGUGCCAUGUCCACACCAGGGAUCCAAACCAGUGAACCCCAGGCUACCGAAGCAGAAAGUGCGAACUUAACCACUGUGCCACCGGGCCAGCCCCAGAGAGUAGAUCUUAAGUGUUCUCACCAUAACAACAGCAACACCAAAAGGGUAAUUAUGUGAGAAGGAAGUAUUAACUAACCUUACUGUGGUAAACAUUUCACAAGGCUGGCCCAGGGUUUCACGGCUUCAGAUCCUGGGCGCAGACCUAGCACUGCUCAUCAGGCCAUGCUAGGGCAGUGUCCCACACAGCACAAGUGGAAGGACCUGCAAUAGAAGAUACAGCUGUGUCCUGGGGAGCUCUGGGGAGAAGAAGAAGAAGAAGAAAAAAAAGAGAUUUGCAACAGAUGUUAGCUCAGGUGCCAAUCUUUAAAAAAACCCACAUUUCCCAAUAUAUGUGUAUCAAAUCAUCACAUUAUACACCUUAAUGUACAACUAAGGUACACAUUAUAUGUCAAUUAUAUGUUAUAUGAAAAUUAUAUCUCAAUAUGUUAUAUGUCAAUUAUAUCUCAAUAAAGCUGGGGGGAAAAUUAAUUAUGUCCUUAAGGCCCUGUCUCCAAACACAGUCCUGUUUUGAGGUCCUGGGAGUUGGGACUUCAACAUUUGAGUUUUAGGGGGAAACAAUUCAGCCCAUAACAAGUGCCAAACUCUGUGCUAAGC